Acanthochromis polyacanthus (spiny chromis) is the source of this 2433-nucleotide long non-coding RNA. RefSeq lists it as uncharacterized. The record is from RefSeq and is a predicted model, not a curated record. NCBI's taxonomy places the organism in Eukaryota, Metazoa, Chordata, Actinopteri, Pomacentridae. The transcript is spliced from 4 exons.
UGUCCCCGGACUUUUUAUUGGUUUACUUUUUUUAGAAGUAGAUGUAGAACUGCUUGGCCUGACAAGUCGUGGGAUUGGUAACUUUUCUGGAAGUUGCUGAUCCAUGAUGCUGUCUCCUCCACAAGCAAAACAAAUGUGUGCGCGGUUGCAUAGUGCGUAGCUCGUGCACCUCUGCAUGGGCUUGCUUGCUGUGCACGUAAUCGUUGAUUGACAGCAUGACAAAGCAGAAGCUCGAACUUGAUUGGCUAGCUGCCGAACGGCGCUUUUUGGAAUAACAUGGGGGUUUAUGAGAGGAAGGCGGAGCUCAUGAAUAAAUUUUCAUAUCGCAUCAUACUAACAUUAUAUUAUAGUAUCGAACUAGACUAACACAUUUAAGCUUUGUUAAACAAUGAUACAUAAAUUGAAAACAAACGGAAACGCCGGACAUGAGCUUUAACGACACAAGUGUAUGUAAUAUUAACUUUUAGUUUUAAUGUCCCAGUUUUUUUGUUUUUUAAGAAAGGUAUAUUCAGUAUUGUAAUCUGUAUUUAUCACAUUAUGUUGUAGGCCCAAAUUUAGCUAUAAUUCAAAACUCAAUGAUAUGAUGUCACACCUUAUUAAACAGCAAAACUGCACAGCAAAGGUUAUAUAAACUCAGUAAGAAAUGACAGUUUCUUCACAGACCAUUCGUGACUUGUGCAGAAACUCAUCUGUGAACAACAGAAUAUUUUUAGGUAUACGGCUUUGUAACUUCAUGUAUAAACAUCAUUAAUUUAUGAGUAUGUAUGUCUAUUUACUUGUUACCCCAGACACAACAGAUUAUCCAGCACUUGGAAAAAUUGUCCUCCAUGUCUGGAACAGACAAGCAGCUGUUUGUCACAGAGGUCCUUGUCCCAGAGUUUUGAUUCGGUGGUUGCAAACCAACAGCAAUAUGUGCCGCUAUCAAGCAGAAUCCAUGCUUCUGAAGAGCACAUCUGCCAAAGGAGAGACAAGAGCUGAAACCACAGUAACAGAGGAAAAUACAGAACCUGGAACAGUGCUUCUAAUGCAUGCCAUAGCUGCAGCUGACUGGUGCAAGAAGCCCAAAUUUGGGGGAGCCUUGAAGCUGCCAGCUGUCAUUUCAAUGGACAAAGACGAACAAAUGGAAGUCCUCAAAGAACUGCAGAGCUGGGAGGGUGAAUAUGAUGAGUCCUCUCCGAUGGAAAUGAUGUCAUUUGUUGUUGAAAAACAGGAUGACUAUGAGAAGUUCACUGAAGAAACAGUCGACAAAAAAACAUGAAAAUGUUUGCCAGGUUUGAGGAGGUUAUGAACCUGAGUAAAUAAAGUAAUCCAGGAAAACACCCCCUCCCACCCACACACACACCAUAUAUGUUGUAUUUACUAUUUUACUUUUUUGUAUUCUGUAUUUUUUAUAGUGUAUUAAAAUGGUUAAGAGUUGUUCAAGAAAAAUAUGAUACACACACCUUAUAUUUUGUAUUUUAUUACUAUAUUUACUUUUUAAAAACUUUUGUUGUAUUCUGUAUUUUAUUUAUAGUGUAUUAAAAUGGUUAAGAGUUGUUCAAGAAAAAUAUGAUACACACACCUUAUAUUUUGUCUUUUAUUACUGUAUUUACUAAUUGACUUUUUUGUAUUCUGUAUUGUAUUUAAAUUUUAAUAGUAACUAAUAUUUACUUUCAGUUUAAUCAGUUUAAAUUUCAUCUGCUUUUAAUUGCACAACUUUAUUUCUGUGUGAGGCUCUGAUGAGAAUUCUUCAGAACAGCAUGGAGACGAGGGAGGGGGCUAAACGCUGAUUGCUAUUCAUAGCAGAGUUGCUGGAGUGCUAGUUAAAAAAAAACAAACAAACAAAACUUUAAGAUCCCAAUGCACCGUGGCAUGAAUCGUGGCAUUUCCCCAAACAGCGGUAUAAGUACCGGUACUGGCAUUAGCAUCUCUCCCAAACAGUGGCAUUAACCGUGGCAUCUCCCUCAGACAGCGGGAUAAACCGUGGCAUGUCGCCCAAACAGCGGUAAAAAUACUGGCAUUAGCCGUGGCAUCCCCUAAACAGUGGCAUUAACCGUGGCAUCCGGCGGUAACACAAAAAGUGUCACUGUUAGCUGCCAGUGCCACCAAUGGGUCUUGCCCCUACUGAUCUGUGAAUCUCUUUCCAACUUUACCUAACUGGAAAAUCAUCGGUUUUUCCGAUUUACUCCAAAAAUGAGCUAAUCUCGCCUUUGAGCUCCCACACUAGCUGACAUACUUUCCCCAAACUUAACCAGCGGACAUGAGAGUGGUAAAGCAAGUCCUUGUGAUCAGGAUCAGUUUCUUCAAGAACCUUAAUGAACUGAUGAUGCUGAAGCCCUCUCGCGCCUAUAAAGUUAAUGAGUUUUAUGACUGGCUUCACCACAUGAUGAAGAUGCAAAACAGACUUACGGAGCGUUUCCUGAUGGAUUAUGCAGUGUAGGAAAAUCACAUCCA